UACGUAGGGUGCAAGCGUUAAUCGGAAUUACUGGGCGUAAAGCGUGCGCAGGCGGUGAUGUAAGACAGAUGUGAAAUCCCCGGGCUCAACCUGGGAACUGCAUUUGUGACUGCAUCGCUGGAGUGCGGCAGAGGGGGAUGGAAUUCCGCGUGUAGCAGUGAAAUGCGUAGAUAUGCGGAGGAACACCGAUGGCGAAGGCGGCAUCCUGGACCGGCAUUGACGCUGAGGAGCGAAAGCCAGGGGAGCAAACGGG
Molecule: ribosomal RNA, 253 nt
Filed under: uncultured bacterium
Lineage: Bacteria
Description: partial 16S ribosomal RNA
Rfam family: Bacterial small subunit ribosomal RNA
Source: RNAcentral